UAGGGAAAACCCUUAACUGAAUACUAAGAAACUUAUCAACUGAAAUUUCAGGGUCCAGAGCAUCACAGGCCAAAAUUUUCCCUAUAUUCAUCUUCAAAAGUCUCCCUCAGAUAAAUUGACUGGAAAACCUGGGAAACAUUCAAGAGAUCAGAGGGUGCGGUGGCGUUCUUCAGCUGCACAUCACUGGGUUCUCUUCCAAAGACAGCUCCAGGAACUCGUCUCGUUCCCAGAGUUCCUGGCCAGUCCCCUCAACUGAAUACCUGGGAUCCUCCUUUUACAGGAAGCUCCGGAAUAUUGAGCGUGAUUCCAGCGCAGCAUGGAGGAGAGUCCUCCCUCAAGAAUCUCCUCUCAUGCCUAGCAGGGGGAGAUGCUU
RNAcentral lists this long non-coding RNA (373 nucleotides) under Sarcophilus harrisii (Tasmanian devil). RNAcentral describes it as "lncRNA (ENSSHAG00000020607.1)". The record is from RNAcentral. Lineage: Eukaryota; Metazoa; Chordata; Mammalia; Dasyuromorphia; Dasyuridae.